AGUCGAACGGCAGCAUAGAGAGCUUGCUCUCUGAUGGCGAGUGGCGAACGGGUGAGUAAUACAUCGGAACGUGUCCGUUUGUGGGGGACAACCACCCGAAAGGGUGGCUAAUACCGCAUAAGACCUGAGGGUGAAAGCCGGGGACCGCAAGGCCUGGCGCGAACGGAGCGGCCGAUGACUGAUUAGCUGGUUGGCGGGGUAAAGGCCCACCAAGGCGACGAUCAGUAGCUGGUCUGAGAGGACGACCAGCCACACUGGAACUGAGACACGGUCCAGACUCCUACGGGAGGCAGCAGUGGGGAAUUUUGGACAAUGGGGGCAACCCUGAUCCAGCCAUGCCGCGUGCGGGAAGAAGGCCUUCGGGUUGUAAACCGCUUUUGUCAGGGACGAAAAGGUGCGGGUUAAGAGCUAGCACUGAUGACGGUACCUGAAGAAUAAGCACCGGCUAACUACGUGCCAGCAGCCGCGGUAAUACGUAGGGUGCGAGCGUUAAUCGGAAUUACUGGGCGUAAAGCGUGCGCAGGCGGUUGGGUAAGACAGAUGUGAAAUCCCCGGGCUUAACCUGGGAACUGCAUUUGUGACUGUCCGACUGGAGUAUGUCAGAGGGGGGUGGAAUUCCAAGUGUAGCAGUGAAAUGCGUAGAUAUUUGGAAGAACACCGAUGGCGAA
Molecule: ribosomal RNA, 668 nt
Filed under: uncultured bacterium
Lineage: Bacteria
Description: bacterial SSU rRNA
Rfam family: Bacterial small subunit ribosomal RNA
Source: RNAcentral